Molecule: ribosomal RNA, 460 nt
Filed under: uncultured bacterium
Lineage: Bacteria
Description: partial 16S ribosomal RNA
Rfam family: Bacterial small subunit ribosomal RNA
Source: RNAcentral
CCUACGGGCGGCAGCAGUGAGGAAUAUUGGUCAAUGGCCGGAAGUCUGAACCAGCCAUGCCGCGUGAAGGUCAGUGCCCUAUGGGCGUUAAACUUCUUUUGUGCGGGAGCAAUAAUGGUCACGUUUGGCCACCCUAGAGUACCGUUCGAAUCAGCAUCGGCAAACUCCGUCCAAGCAGCCGCGGUCAUACGGGGGAUGCAAGCGUUAGCCUGAUUUAAUGGGUUUAAAGGGUGCGUAGGCUGUGAGGGAAGUCAGCGUUGGAAUGCCCACGCUCAACGGGGUGAAGUGCCAUUGAUCCUGCCGGGCUGGAAUGCGGAUGCGGUGGGAGGAAUGUUUGGUGUAGCGGUGAAAUGCAUAGAUAUCACGCAGAACACCGAUUGCGAAGGCAUCUCACGGAGCCGCGAUUGACGCUGAUGCACGAAAGCGUGGGUAUCAAACAGGAUUAGAUACCCUAGUAGUC